UGGUGGAGUGAUUUGCCUGGUUAAUUCCGUUAACGAACGAGACCUUAACCUGCUAAAUAGUUACAGGUAACUCCGGUUACCUGGGCAACUUCUUAGAGGGACAUUGCGUGUCUAACGCAAGGAAGUUUGAGGCAAUAACA
RNAcentral lists this ribosomal RNA (140 nucleotides) under uncultured eukaryote. RNAcentral describes it as "partial 18S ribosomal RNA". It matches the Rfam family "Eukaryotic small subunit ribosomal RNA", at positions 1299 to 1458 of the family's 1831-position model. The record is from RNAcentral.